GAAUAUUGGACAAUGGGGGAAACCCUGAUCCAGCAAUGCCGCGUGAGUGAAGAAGGCCUUAGGGUUGUAAAACUCUUUCACUGAUGAAGAUGAUGACGGUAAUCAGAGAAGAAGCCCCGGCUAACUCCGUGCCAGCAGCCGCGGUAAUCCGGAGGGGGCUAGCGUUGUUCGGAUUUACUGGGCGUAAAGCGCACGUAGGCGGCAUAUCAAGUCAGAGGUGAAAGGCCCGGGCUCAACCUGGGAACUGCCUUUGAUACUGGUAUGCUUGAGUUCGGAAGAGGGUAGUGGAAUUCCAAGUGUAGAGGUGAAAUUCGUAGAUAUUUGGAAGAACACCGGUGGCGAAGGCGGCUACCUGGUCCGAUACUGACGCUGAGGUGCGAAAGCGUGGGGAGCGAACAGG
RNAcentral lists this ribosomal RNA (400 nucleotides) under uncultured bacterium. RNAcentral describes it as "bacterial SSU rRNA". It matches the Rfam family "Bacterial small subunit ribosomal RNA", at positions 359 to 776 of the family's 1533-position model. The record is from RNAcentral.